This is a long non-coding RNA of Cannabis sativa, 1537 nucleotides long. RefSeq lists it as uncharacterized. NCBI's taxonomy places the organism in Eukaryota, Viridiplantae, Streptophyta, Magnoliopsida, Rosales, Cannabaceae. The transcript has 2 exons. The record is from RefSeq and is a predicted model, not a curated record.
AAUAGAGCCUCUUUUAAGGGUAGUUUACGUAGAACCCCUUUUGGUAUUGGUGAAGAAUGCCAACACGCAUUGUAUACUGUGGGAUGUGUUGUAGUGGAGACCCCACCUUAUUCUUUUUAACGUUAUGAUUUGGGGGUUUUUGUACAUUUCUAUUUCUCCCAAUUUCUUCGGGCGAUUUCUUUGAGAAUAAAUUUGCCCUAUUUUUGAUUGAUCCCUUCUGUUUGUGGACGUCAAAGAUGGAGCCAGCGACACCGACGAGUCGUCUUUUUGUCUCGUCUUCUUCCGCUAAAGGAGAUCUCAUUAAAGAACCAUCUCGUUGUUCUUUGUUGUUGUAUAUCUUAUGUAAUUGGUAAUUAAGAUAUUGAUGAAGGUAGAAUGGUAACUUCUGAAGCAUAAAAGAUUUGUACAAAAAUGUGAGGUUUCUUUGGUACUAGGCUGACCUCUACUCUACUACCCUGGUAGGAUUUGAUCAUACUGGUCGUGGCAGAGUCUAUAAGAGAAAGGUACAGAAUAAUGACUUUUACUUUUUACCUUAAUUGAGCUCAUUUUCAAUCUCAGUUUAUGAGAUAGUGAAUUUUUAUGCUUUGAGUUUGUUAUUUCAUUUGGGUAUUAACAUCCAACAAAGAAUUAAUUUUAAAUACAACCACUCUUACAUUGCACACCAAAUAUUUGAAAUCUUAUGUACGAAAGUAAUGACCAUUUAACUUUAACAAAGUAUCUUAUAUACUAUUAGUGGUAGUUUUAUGUUGGAAAUAAAUUGUGAUAUAUAAUAUGAAUGGGCUACUGCUUCCAUUAUCAAUUAGUUUUGAGAUGAAAACUCAUUUUUCUUAUUCCAAAUUCUAACAUAUACAACUUACAAUUUUGAUUUGUGGAUACUAUAAUAGAAAUUGUGUUUUUUUUUUCUUUUCAACAUUUAAGACUAGGACUUUGAUACUUGUAAAUUUGGUUUGUGGUAGGUCCAAAUGCUAUUAUUUUUGUCUGUUCAUUGAUCUUUCAAUAUGAAUUAAGUGUCUAAGAUGAUGGACAAUAUUGGUUUGAAACACCUUGAGGUGAGGGGCAUAUGAAGCAUAUUCCAGAUAUUUGAUGAAAAUGUUGAUUCAGUGAACAACAAAGUUGAUAUAUUGUUGGAGGCAUUAAUUGCGAGCGUAGUUUCAUGUUUCAUCAAAAGUGUGCAUCUCGAACUUGAAUAAGGAACAAAAGAAUUACGUGAAAAGAGAUGCUUUUGGCCGUAAAAAUUGAAUGUUGGAGGAUGGAAACUGUUUGGUUGAACCGUUUUGUUGAAAAAAAUUUAGAAUUGGUUGGCCAAUUUUCUAAAUUGCUCAUGAGAUAGCGCUGACUUUUCUAUUUGAAUUCUAGUUUGUUUUGGCCACUGUUCAUUUCUAUCAGUAUAGGUUAGAAUUCUUUUUGUAUAGUUUCUUCAUUUACAAACUUUGGUGAGAUAAGGAUUCAUUCUACUUCCUUUUGAAUAUAUAUGUGAUUAUGUAUUUUUGAAUUUAAGCUGGAUUAGUUGAUUGUAUUGGCCUUUUCUUUUGUUUCA